Molecule: non-coding RNA, 66 nt
Filed under: unclassified sequences
Source: RNAcentral
ACCGUCCACAACAGCAGCUUCCACGAGAGCGGACGGUGGGCAACGGGUUUUCCGGCUAAUGCUGAA